GAGCUACUAGGUGAGGUGGGAUUCGUCGUCAAACUGUCAGCUCAUCCACGAAAUCAUCGACACUUAUGAGGACGACUUGCAGUUGCAGAGCAAGAAAAUGGAGAAAAACAAGAGAGAGAAGAGAAAGAGCAAGGCCAACAACAAUGGCAACAAAGGGUCCGCCGCCGCCACCUCCGGCGAGGC
Molecule: long non-coding RNA, 183 nt
Organism: Ipomoea nil (Japanese morning glory)
Lineage: Eukaryota; Viridiplantae; Streptophyta; Magnoliopsida; Solanales; Convolvulaceae
Exons: 3
Source: RefSeq, a predicted model, not a curated record